UGGUGCUUCUCCUCCUUCUUGUAAUCGACCUCAGGCUCCGUGAUGGUGGUCACUUCGGUGGUCUCAGCAUAAGCACCAUCAGGGCCACUGCCGUAGGCAGCGCCACUGCCGUAAGCGCUAUCAGGGCCACUGCCGGGGCCACUGCCAUAGGUGGUUUCACUGCCAGGGCCACUGCCGUAGGUGGUUUUACUGCCAGGGCCACUGCCGUAGGUGGUCUCACUGCCGUAGGCGGUCUCGGAGUAGUUGACAGCCUCAACGGGUUGCUCAUCCUCCUUCUUGUGGUGGAAGAGGUGGUGGCGGUGUCCUUCGGCCAUGGUUGGCGGUUGUUCUUUGUGGGAUGCUAGAAUUGACGAUGGAUUAGGGAAAGGACUCUUGAUAGCUGAAGU
RNAcentral lists this long non-coding RNA (386 nucleotides) under Eucalyptus grandis. Its description in RNAcentral is "long non-coding RNA (EGRA_LNC003901)". Lineage: Eukaryota; Viridiplantae; Streptophyta; Magnoliopsida; Myrtales; Myrtaceae. The record is from RNAcentral.